GACGAACGCUGGCGGCGUGCUUAACACAUGCAAGUCGAACGCUGAAGACCUGGCUUUUGUUGGGUUGGAUGAGUGGCGAACGGGUGCGUAACACGUGAGUAACCUGCCCUCUUCUUUGGGAUAACGCCCGGAAACGGGUGCUAAUACUGGAUAUUCACUGAUCUUCGCAUGGGGGUUGGUGGAAAGGUUUGUUCUGGUGGGGGAUGGGCUCGCGGCCUAUCAGCUUGUUGGUGGGGUGAUGGCCUACCAAGGCUUUGACGGGUAGCCGGCCUGAGAGGGUGACCGGUCACAUUGGGACUGAGAUACGGCCCAGACUCCUACGGGAGGCAGCAGUGGGGAAUAUUGCACAAUGGGCGAAAGCCUGAUGCAGCGACGCCGCGUGAGGGAUGGAGGCCUUCGGGUUGUAAACCUCUUUCGCUCAUGGUCAAGCCGCAACUGUGGGUUGUGGUGAGGGUAGUGGGUAAAGAAGCGCCGGCUAACUACGUG
This 486-nucleotide ribosomal RNA is filed under the name uncultured bacterium. RNAcentral's name for it is "partial 16S ribosomal RNA". It matches the Rfam family "Bacterial small subunit ribosomal RNA", at positions 28 to 507 of the family's 1533-position model. The record is from RNAcentral.